GGGUUUGUAAUGUUGGACUUAAUUUAAGGACCAAAGUGAAAUUGAUUGCAAUGUCACGCCCCGGGGUCCCUUUUUAGUUUAAAGCAUAGCGGAAAAGCGUCUGAAUUUUUUUUUUUUUAAAAACCUGACCCCAGGGUAUGCCAGAUCCGCCACAAAUACAGGAGAUCCACCGUUCACAUGGACAGAGUCUUCCCUGUAUUUGCACGGCGUCGCACAAGUACAAGAGUUCAAACAUGAUACAACCACAACCAGAUGAACAUACAAAUAACCACAGUUAUGUAUAUUCAUACACCAUUCACCACAGAUUCAUAUUUUUCCAUUCAAUAUUUAAACAUAAAUUCACAUCUAUCAGUUAAAAUGUUUCCAAUUACAGAAACAAGUUUUGAAAUACUAAGAUACAAAAUCACAGAAAACCCUUUGAAAACUGUUCCCUACACGGGAACUUUUAUCUUUUAAAACGCUACCACGAGAGGUAGAAAACCAUUUUUAUUUCAAGAAAACACAAAUCCUUUAUUACAUUCCAAAACCAACUGAAAACUAAGAUAUUCAGAUAAUAACACAAAACUGAACCAUGUAAACCGACUAAGCUAUAUAUAUCCACAGAAAUAAAAAGGGUAAUAGCUAAAUCGAAAUAACCUGGGUCGGAAGCUCUAUCGACCGCUACACACGUACCUCACGUCUCGUCCCACUAAACAUCGCCCGCGAUACCUGAAAAAUGGUGGGGGAGGUGAGAACAUGU
This 739-nucleotide long non-coding RNA is filed under the name Ananas comosus (pineapple). RNAcentral describes it as "long non-coding RNA (ACOM_LNC030424)". Lineage: Eukaryota; Viridiplantae; Streptophyta; Magnoliopsida; Poales; Bromeliaceae. The record is from RNAcentral.